Molecule: ribosomal RNA, 445 nt
Filed under: uncultured bacterium
Lineage: Bacteria
Description: partial 16S ribosomal RNA
Rfam family: Bacterial small subunit ribosomal RNA
Source: RNAcentral
GUGAGGAAUAUUGGUCAAUGGGCGAGAGCCUGAACCAGCCAAGUCGCGUGAAGGAAGAAGGAUCUAUGGUUCGUAAACUUCUUUUGCAGGGGAAUAAAGUGCAGGACGUGUCCUGUUUUGUAUGUACCCUGAGAAUAAGGAUCGGCUAACUCCGUGCCAGCAGCCGCGGUAAUACGGAGGAUCCGAGCGUUAUCCGGAUUUAUUGGGUUUAAAGGGUGCGUAGGUGGUUUGAUAAGUCAGCGGUGAAAGUUUGCAGCUUAACUGUAAAAAUGCCGUUGAAACUGUCGGACUUGAGUGUAAAUGAGGUAGGCGGAAUGCGUGGUGUAGCGGUGAAAUGCAUAGAUAUCACGCAGAACUCCGAUUGCGAAGGCAGCUUACUGGGAUGCAACUGACACUGAAGCACGAAAGCGUGGGGAUCAAACAGGAUUAGAAACCCCAGUAGUCC